Lolium rigidum is the source of this 3588-nucleotide long non-coding RNA. RefSeq lists it as uncharacterized. The record is from RefSeq and is a predicted model, not a curated record. NCBI's taxonomy places the organism in Eukaryota, Viridiplantae, Streptophyta, Magnoliopsida, Poales, Poaceae. The transcript is spliced from 2 exons.
UGGUGGGGUCGUGCCUCUACAUCAUCGACAACUCGAGCGACGGGGAGCUGAUACUGAACCAGAUGGGCCUGGAGGGCGCGCGCCAGUUGAUCGGCAGCGACUCCUUGCUUUCCUCUCGCUCGACGUGGUGCACAGUAUAUACGGCGAGGAGGCGGGGGACUACCGCGAGUCCGCGACGCCUGCUUCUCUCGCAAGCACCCUCUGCUGCCAACACUGACCAAGCUGUCUAUCGAAUUCGAUGAGGAAGAUAGACUGGUGAGUACGUGAGCCCUUCUCCGCACAGCUCCUCGCAUCUGUUGCAAGGUUAUUCUGCUGUCAGGGUAGUUUUUUAGGUGGGCUUACGAAAUAUUUCACUAGAUCAUCAGGGAGCCAGUUCCAUAAUGAAAUUUGCGUAGGUUCGUGAAUUCCGUGUGCCUGUACCUAAGGCUGCAAGAUUAUUUGAUUAUGUAUUCUAUCCCUGAGGUAUUGACGUAAAAGUUAAGUUGCUGCAAUGAUUGACACCGAUAGAGCUUGGUGAGUGCUACUGACAAAAAACCGGGAAACCUUGAAUCUCUGUAGGACUAGCCAAGAUGGCCAAGUUUGCCACCAUUGAUACAUACUGUUAGUUGAAUGUCUCAAUCCACUCUGUGAAACACCAAGUUAAACAAACUUUACAAAAAGACUUAUAUUUUCGAACAGAGGUAGUACUGUUUUAGAUCAUCAUGAAGCCAAAUCUUCCUGGUUUCAUAAUGGAAUUUGGGUAGGGGUGCGAAUUCUAUGUGCAUGUACCUAAGGCUGCAACAUCAUUUUGGUCAUGAAUUUUAUCCUUGAGCUAUUGAUGUAAGUUAAGGUGCUGCAAUUGUUGACACCGAUAAAGCUUGCUGAGUUCUAAUGACAAAAAACUGGGAAAGCUUGAACUCUGUAGGACUGGCAAAGAUGGCCAAGUUUGCCACCAUUGAACAUACUGGUUCAAUUGAAUGUCUGAAUGUGUCACUUUGUGAAAGACCCAAUUAAAUCCAUUUAAUAUACCAAGCAAGCACGUGGAACACUUUCUAAGAUUUCUCAAGGUUGUGAAGGCUGCUAACUAGCAAUAUUCAGGUGCCACUUUAAAGUGGCAAGUUGAAUUAAUGUGGCGAUGACAUGUCUGCACUUUGGAUGGUUUAAUUCCUGUUGGUUCUCAUGUACUCAAUUCUAUGCUGCUUAGCGAUUUGGGCUAACAUGUUUUUGUUCCAGACGCUUUGGUUGUCGGCUGUCUUAGUACUCGCUUGGGUGGACCUAGCUGAAAUAUAAUGGAGCGGUGUUGGGCCAUCGUGGGCACCGCUUUCUCUCUCCAUGUGGCCUCUCUCUAGAGAAAUCCCUGUCCAUCUCCCCCACCCUUCCGAGCCAAAUGCCCAAAAACCAGUACAUGUAAACCAAGCAAGAGCUGGAGGCGUCGACAGCCAGCAAGGAGGAUUUCUCCAUUAAGAGGAUGGCCAAGAACGAAUCCAAACCUCAGGGGAUCCCGCCCUCCCAGGGUGGCAAGUAUGUCGGUUUUGGAUCCUCCCGCCACCCUCGGCCAAUAGGAACAAUGGGGCUUCCCAGGGUGAUGUCAACCACGUCGUCUCCCAGAGUCGCCUGAUUUGAUGACUUCCCAUGGCAAGAUGAAGGUAGAAGUUGGCAUUUGCAAAUACACUGUAAGAUGGAAAGUACAAGAAAUAUGUGAAAAGAUGCCAAUGAUAUUCUAAUACACAGGUUAGGCACUCAUAAUGUAUAUUCAUGUGGUUUAUUAUGUCAAUAAAAAAUACAUGAAACCACAUGUGCUCCUGAGAAGAAUCAGUGUCGUUGUAUCUUUGACACUAUUGGUACUUUUGGUAGAAAAGAGAUGUGCAAACGGCAUACCUGUUUCUACUUAUUGUGUUGCCUUUGCUCAAGUUCCUUCUCUAUAUAGGUUGUGUUAUGCCUUUCUGUUUAGGACGUGAGUAAUUUAAAAUAUUAAAUCUUUCUAUGAAUAUUGGAGAAGUGCAGUGUGAAUUGUUUGAUUGCAGUGCAUUCCUAUUCGGUUUGUUGCCUUUGCCUAGGUUCCUUCUCUACAUGAGUAAUUUAUUAACUUGGAUUGUUGAACUUUGCAGUCUUUGGGUUCCCAGGAACCUUAUCAGUUGUAUAUACUUGAUUGGGCACAUAAAUGUUAUGACUGUUUGCAUUACCAAUUUCCUCCCGAACUUAAUAAGUAACCAUUUCUACACUACACAAGCUGUACCUUCUAACAAUUUAGGUUGAUACAUGUAUGCACUAACAGCCCACCUACGAGAUAGAUUUACAGAAUUAGAUAUGAACUAUGUAAAAUAAGUUUGUUAUCCAAUUAAUUAAUUCUUAUCCGUGUAUGGAUAUAGCAUUUCUGAAAAUUCCUCUCAAACUGAAUAAAUAACCAUUUCUAGAAUACGUGAACUAACUGCAACUUCUAAAUAUUUGGGUAGUUUAGGUUGAUACAUGUACACACUAACUCCCGAGCUACUAUAUUUACAGAGACUAUAUAUGAGCUAUACAAAACAAGUUUGUUAUGAAGCUUCCAGUUCAGUAAGUUUACAGAUUUAGACCUUGUUGUUUUGUUGUGCUAACAAGACACGUAAAUACUGAAUUUUUUUAUGCCCAUAUAAGUAUCCAGAGCUAACCUGUUACUUAUGCUUAAAAUGGGUACUUGCACUGUUCCGCCAUCACAAAAGAUGCACGCUUCUUAUAGGUAGAGAAUCAUGAAUGCAUGCGAGCUGUAAGUGGUAUGGCUUCAGAACUUUCAUUUUUCAGUAACUUUCCAUUUUGUGGGUUUCAUCAGAUAGUUAGAAUUCCUUGAUUGCAGUAGCAGACCAUCUAUUACACCUGAUCAAAUAGCCUGCUCUGCAUGCUUCUUUGAUUCCUUCUCCUGGCUAUUAAACUCUUAUUUUAUAACCUGUCAUGGUUUUUGUUCUAACAGUGCUUAGGAACAUUUUAAUCUGAACUAUUCUGCCCUUUCUCUAGGAGAUUGCAAUGGGUCAUCAAGACUAUGGAGGAUGACAACACAAGCAAUUCAGGAAACAACACUCCGUAUUCAUUGCAAUUCUAUCUUCUUGGAAGAAGUUAUCUUGCAAGCUGAACCAACUAAGAAAAGGUGACUGAGACAUACUGUCGGCCGGCCUUGCCAUUGCCGUCAUUAGAUACCAUUUGCACGUGUGUGUCAUGCGCUGGCAUUGGUGAGAUUUCUUGGUCUUCAGUUUUUCUACCCCCAUUUGUAAUUACUCUACAACUAAGACUAAGCAGCUUUUCUAUCUGGACAUUGGUGCAUAAAUUCCUCGGGUAAAUGAAUCUGAAAUAGCAGCUUAGUCGUAGUUGUAGAUGCUAGCGAGGGUGUUACUACACCAUGGUUAUACAUCACUAUACUGAAGGUAGGUAGAGAUGUUUAGGGUGUCCCUUUCGCUGAUGAAUAUUAGUCAAUAGGUAUUAGAACUCGAUCAAUUACAUGAGAAGUUUUUGUGUUACUUUUUUGUGGAGAGUGUUGAUAGCUGGAGAUUGUUGAAACAGUUUGUUUAUUCGAAUCAGAUGCUGAAGAUUUUCAUUGUAAAUUCUACUGGUUGUUUGAUUGAAUUAAGUUAUUUAAAUUUA